This 449-nucleotide ribosomal RNA is filed under the name Phocaeicola vulgatus. RNAcentral's name for it is "bacterial SSU rRNA". It matches the Rfam family "Bacterial small subunit ribosomal RNA", at positions 61 to 499 of the family's 1533-position model. The record is from RNAcentral. Lineage: Bacteria; Pseudomonadati; Bacteroidota; Bacteroidia; Bacteroidales; Bacteroidaceae.
GUCGAGGGGCAGCAUGGUCUUAGCUUGCUAAGGCCGAUGGCGACCGGCGCACGGGUGAGUAACACGUAUCCAACCUGCCGUCUACUCUUGGACAGCCUUCUGAAAGGAAGAUUAAUACAAGAUGGCAUCAUGAGUCCGCAUGUUCACAUGAUUAAAGGUAUUCCGGUAGACGAUGGGGAUGCGUUCCAUUAGAUAGUAGGCGGGGUAACGGCCCACCUAGUCUUCGAUGGAUAGGGGUUCUGAGAGGAAGGUCCCCCACAUUGGAACUGAGACACGGUCCAAACUCCUACGGGAGGCAGCAGUGAGGAAUAUUGGUCAAUGGGCGAGAGCCUGAACCAGCCAAGUAGCGUGAAGGAUGACUGCCCUAUGGGUUGUAAACUUCUUUUAUAAAGGAAUAAAGUCGGGUAUGGAUACCCGUUUGCAUGUACUUUAUGAAUAAGGAUCGGCUA